GGAGUGUUAGCUCAGCUGGGAGAGCAUCUGCCUUACAAGCAGGAGGUCGGGGGUUCGAGUCCCUCACACUCCA
Molecule: transfer RNA, 73 nt
Filed under: Candidatus Malacoplasma girerdii
Lineage: Bacteria; Bacillati; Mycoplasmatota; Mycoplasmoidales; Mycoplasmoidaceae
Description: Candidatus Mycoplasma girerdii tRNA
Rfam family: tRNA
About the family: Transfer RNA (tRNA) molecules are approximately 80 nucleotides in length.
Source: Rfam by way of RNAcentral